This 253-nucleotide ribosomal RNA is filed under the name uncultured bacterium. RNAcentral's name for it is "partial 16S ribosomal RNA". It matches the Rfam family "Bacterial small subunit ribosomal RNA", at positions 524 to 776 of the family's 1533-position model. The record is from RNAcentral.
UACAGAGGUCCCAAGCGUUGUUCGGAUUCACUGGGCGUAAAGGGUGCGUAGGUGGUGAGGUAAGUCCGAUGUGAAAGCUCCGAGCUCAACUCGGAAAUUGCAUUAGAAACUACCUUGCUAGAGGGUUGGAGGGGGGACUGGAAUUCUCGGUGUAGCAGUGAAAUGCGUAGAUAUCGAGAGGAACACCAGUGGCGAAGGCGAGUCCUUGGACAACUCCUGACACUGAGGCACGAAAGCUAGGGGAGCAAACAGG